This 422-nucleotide ribosomal RNA is filed under the name Vibrio parahaemolyticus. RNAcentral describes it as "bacterial SSU rRNA". It matches the Rfam family "Bacterial small subunit ribosomal RNA", at positions 1121 to 1533 of the family's 1533-position model. Lineage: Bacteria; Pseudomonadati; Pseudomonadota; Gammaproteobacteria; Vibrionales; Vibrionaceae. The record is from RNAcentral.
GCGAGUAAUGUCGGGAACUCCAGGGAGACUGCCGGUGAUAAACCGGAGGAAGGUGGGGACGACGUCAAGUCAUCAUGGCCCUUACGAGUAGGGCUACACACGUGCUACAAUGGCGCAUACAGAGGGCAGCCAACUUGCGAAAGUGAGCGAAUCCCAAAAAGUGCGUCGUAGUCCGGAUUGGAGUCUGCAACUCGACUCCAUGAAGUCGGAAUCGCUAGUAAUCGUGGAUCAGAAUGCCACGGUGAAUACGUUCCCGGGCCUUGUACACACCGCCCGUCACACCAUGGGAGUGGGCUGCAAAAGAAGUAGGUAGUUUAACCUUCGGGGGGACGCUUACCACUUUGUGGUUCAUGACUGGGGUGAAGUCGUAACAAGGUAGCGCUAGGGGAACCUGGCGCUGGAUCACCUCCUUAAACGAUGAU